CCUACGGGAUGCAGCAGUGGGGAAUUUUGGGCAAUGGCCGCAAGGCUGACCCAGCGACGCCGCGUGCGGGAAGACGCCCUUCGGGGUGUAAACCGCUGUCAGGGGGGACGAAUCCUCCCGGUGGGAAUACCACCGGGAAAUGACGGUACCCUCAAAGGAAGCGCCGGCUAACUCCGUGCCAGCAGCCGCGGUAAGACGGAGGGCGCGAGCGUUGUUCGGAAUCACUGGGCGUAAAGCGCGCGCAGGCGGGCCGGUCAAGUCGGAAGUGAAAUCCCGGGGCUCAACUCCGGGACUGCUUCCGAAACUGUCGGCCUGGAGACCGGUAGAGGUGGGUGGAAUUCCCGGUGUAGCGGUGGAAUGCGUAGAGAUCGGGAAGAACACCUGUGGCGAAGGCGGCCCACUGGGCCGGUUCUGACGCUGAGGCGCGAAAGCGUGGGGAGCAAACAGGAUUAGAUACCCGGGUAGUC
Molecule: ribosomal RNA, 467 nt
Filed under: uncultured bacterium
Lineage: Bacteria
Description: bacterial SSU rRNA
Rfam family: Bacterial small subunit ribosomal RNA
Source: RNAcentral